CCUGGUGGCUAUACCAAGUGUGAAACACGCCAUCCCAUCUCGAACUGGAUUGUGAAAAACCUUCGGGCCGAUUGUACUAUGUCUUAAGGCAUGGGAGAGUAGGUCGUUGCCAGGU
Molecule: non-coding RNA, 115 nt
Organism: Alphaproteobacteria bacterium CG1_02_46_17
Lineage: Bacteria; Pseudomonadati; Pseudomonadota; Alphaproteobacteria
Source: Rfam